RNAcentral lists this ribosomal RNA (466 nucleotides) under uncultured bacterium. Its description in RNAcentral is "partial 16S ribosomal RNA". It matches the Rfam family "Bacterial small subunit ribosomal RNA", at positions 30 to 507 of the family's 1533-position model. The record is from RNAcentral.
CGACCGCUGGCGGCGUGCUUCACACAUGCACGUCGCACGGAAAGGCCCUGCUUUUGUGGGGUGCUCGAGUGGCGAACGGGUGAGUAACACGUGAGUAACCUGCCCUUGACUUUGGGAUAACUUCAGGAAACUGGGGCUAAUACCGGAUAGGAGCUCCUGCUGCAUGGUGGGGGUUGGAAAGUUUCGGCGGUUGGGGAUGGACUCGCGGCUUAUCAGCUUGUUGGUGGGGUAGUGGCUUACCAAGGCUUUGACGGGUAGCCGGCCUGAGAGGGUGACCGGCCACAUUGGGACUGAGAUACGGCCCAGACUCCUACGGGAGGCAGCAGUGGGGAAUAUUGCACAAUGGGCGGAAGCCUGAUGCAGCAACGCCGCGUGCGGGAUGACGGCCUUCGGGUUGUAAACCGCUUUCGCCUGUGACGAAGCGUGAGUGACGGUAAUGGGUAAAGAAGCACCGGCUAACUACGUG